Molecule: ribosomal RNA, 313 nt
Filed under: Bacillus subtilis
Lineage: Bacteria; Bacillati; Bacillota; Bacilli; Caryophanales; Bacillaceae
Description: bacterial SSU rRNA
Rfam family: Bacterial small subunit ribosomal RNA
Source: RNAcentral
CCCUUGAUCUUAGUUGCCAGCAUUCAGUUGGGCACUCUAAGGUGACUGCCGGUGACAAACCGGAGGAAGGUGGGGAUGACGUCAAAUCAUCAUGCCCCUUAUGACCUGGGCUACACACGUGCUACAAUGGACAGAACAAAGGGCAGCGAAACCGCGAGGUUAAGCCAAUCCCACAAAUCUGUUCUCAGUUCGGAUCGCAGUCUGCAACUCGACUGCGUGAAGCUGGAAUCGCUAGUAAUCGCGGAUCAGCAUGCCGCGGUGAAUACGUUCCCGGGCCUUGUACACACCGCCCGUAAACUCAGAUGAAUUGACG